Long non-coding RNA from Drosophila innubila, 513 nucleotides. RefSeq lists it as uncharacterized. The transcript is spliced from 3 exons. The record is from RefSeq and is a predicted model, not a curated record. Lineage: Eukaryota; Metazoa; Arthropoda; Insecta; Diptera; Drosophilidae.
UGUGUAUAGGACACUCGCGUGUGCGCGUCGUUUGGCUCUUGGCUAACUGGGUAACGGAAUUUGGGCUGCUUGGCGGCAAUGCUGCGCGGUUUGUUCUUAACUUUUAUUUAUGUUAGGUGAAAGUGAGUGACAAGUUGGCAAAAACCGAAAAUGUUACAGAAAUGUGCGCAACGAUUCAAAUAAAUUAAUAAGCCAAAGUCAUUACCAAAUUAAAACUAGACACGCGAAAGGCAACAUAAUAAACACAGACAAAACAAAGGAAAAGGGAAAAGGAUAAAAGGAAAGGAGCUCAAGUCAAGUACGUCAAGUGUGGCGAGUCAAGAGGUUUGACUUAGAAGCUAGGAGCGUUUGAGCUGCUGGCAUGCUUUGGGCUUAACUAAUCCAUCGUCCCACUCCUCGUCCUCGUCCAUAUCCCCAUCGUAGUCGCCAUCAAAGGCACCGAAGCGAUGCUUGCCUCAUUAGCGACUUAGCGUUGCAAAUGCAUAGGUAAAGGAAGCCAAAAGCCAAAAAAAA